Molecule: ribosomal RNA, 666 nt
Filed under: Lactobacillus jensenii
Lineage: Bacteria; Bacillati; Bacillota; Bacilli; Lactobacillales; Lactobacillaceae
Description: bacterial SSU rRNA
Rfam family: Bacterial small subunit ribosomal RNA
Source: RNAcentral
GCAGUCGAGCGAGCUUGCCUAUUGAAAUUCUUCGGAAUGGACAUAGAUACAAGCUAGCGGCGGAUGGGUGAGUAACGCGUGGGUAACCUGCCCUUAAGUCUGGGAUACCAUUUGGAAACAGAUGCUAAUACCGGAUAAAAGCUACUUUCGCAUGAAAGAAGUUUAAAAGGCGGCGUAAGCUGUCGCUAAAGGAUGGACCUGCGAUGCAUUAGCUAGUUGGUAAGGUAACGGCUUACCAAGGCGAUGAUGCAUAGCCGAGUUGAGAGACUGAUCGGCCACAUUGGGACUGAGACACGGCCCAAACUCCUACGGGAGGCAGCAGUAGGGAAUCUUCCACAAUGGACGCAAGUCUGAUGGAGCAACGCCGCGUGAGUGAAGAAGGUUUUCGGAUCGUAAAGCUCUGUUGUUGGUGAAGAAGGAUAGAGGUAGUAACUGGCCUUUAUUUGACGGUAAUCAACCAGAAAGUCACGGCUAACUACGUGCCAGCAGCCGCGGUAAUACGUAGGUGGCAAGCGUUGUCCGGAUUUAUUGGGCGUAAAGCGAGCGCAGGCGGAUUGAUAAGUCUGAUGUGAAAGCCUUCGGCUCAACCGAAGAACUGCAUCAGAAACUGUCAAUCUUGAGUGCAGAAGAGGAGAGUGGAACUCCAUGUGUAGCGGUGGAAUGCGU